This 433-nucleotide ribosomal RNA is filed under the name uncultured bacterium. RNAcentral's name for it is "partial 16S ribosomal RNA". It matches the Rfam family "Bacterial small subunit ribosomal RNA", at positions 29 to 507 of the family's 1533-position model. The record is from RNAcentral.
AACGAACGCUGGCGGCAUGCCUAACACAUGCAAGUCGAACGAGACCUUCGGGUCUAGUGGCGCACGGGUGCGUAACGCGUGGGAACCUGCCCUUAGGUUCGGAAUAACUCCCCGAAAGGGGUGCUAAUACCGGAUAAUGUCUUCUGACCAAAGAUUUAUCGCCUUUGGAUGGGCCCGCGUUGGAUUAGCUCGUUGGUAGGGUAAAAGCCUACCAAGGCGACGAUCCAUAGCUGGUCUGAGAGGAAGAUCAGCCACACUGGGACUGAGACACGGCCCAGACUCCUACGGGAGGCAGGAGAGGGGAAUAUUGGAAAAUGGGCGAAGGCAUGAUCCAGCAAGGCCGCGUGAGUGAUGAAGGCCGUAGGGUUGUAAAGCUCUUUUACCCGGGAUGAUAAUGACAGUACCGGGAGAAUAAGCUCCGGCUAACUCCGUG